RNAcentral lists this ribosomal RNA (341 nucleotides) under uncultured Pseudomonadota bacterium. RNAcentral's name for it is "bacterial SSU rRNA". It matches the Rfam family "Bacterial small subunit ribosomal RNA", at positions 29 to 351 of the family's 1533-position model. Lineage: Bacteria; Pseudomonadati; Pseudomonadota. The record is from RNAcentral.
AACGAACGCUGGCGGCGUGCUUAACACAUGCAAGUCGAACGCGAAAUUUUUCUUCGGAAAGAGAGUAGAGUGGCGCACGGGUGAGUAACGCGUAAGUAAUCUACCCCUGUAUUCGGAAUACCCCACCGAAAGGUGAGCUAAUACCGGAUACGUUUAUCUUGAUGCGAAUGAUGAUAAAGAAAGGUGGCCUCUUCUUGAAAGCUACUGUACAGGGACGAGCUUGCGUACCAUUAGCUAGUUGGUAGGGUAAUGGCCUACCAAGGCGACGAUGGUUAGCGGGUCUGAGAGGAUGAUCCGCCACACUGGAACUGGAACACGGACCAGACACCUACGGGUGGCAG